CCUACGGGUGGCAGCAGUGGGGAAUAUUGGACAAUGGGGGGAACCCUGAUCCAGCGACGCCGCGUGAGUGAAGAAGUAUUUCGGUAUGUAAAGCUCUAUCAGCAGGGAAGAAAGAAAUGACGGUACCUGACUAAGAAGCCCCGGCUAACUACGUGCCAGCAGCCGCGGUAAUACGUAGGGGGCAAGCGUUAUCCGGAUUUACUGGGGGUAAAGGGAGCGUAGACGGCGAUGCAAGUCUGAAGUGAAAGGCGGGGGCCUAACCCCCGGACUGCUAUGGAAACUGUAUGGCUGGAGUGCAGGAGAGGUAAGUGGAAUUCCUAGUGUAGCGGUGAAAUGCGGAGAUAUUAGGAGGAACACCAGUGGCGAAGGCGGCUUACUGGACUGUAACUGACGUUGAGGCUCGAAAGCGUGGGGAGCAAACAGGAUUAGAUACCCUUGUAGUC
Molecule: ribosomal RNA, 443 nt
Filed under: uncultured bacterium
Lineage: Bacteria
Description: partial 16S ribosomal RNA
Rfam family: Bacterial small subunit ribosomal RNA
Source: RNAcentral